UGCACGGGUAAUCUCGUUAUGGGCAUCAGUUAGGGUACCCCUUACAUCAGCAGGAAAAAACAGACACAUGCCCCAACAAAAAAUCUGUCAGUUUUUAUUAUACAAGGCAUAUCCAACAAAAAGAUCCACAACCCGUUAACAAAAAAUGCAGUGCUGCUUUUGCUGCUGCUGGGCACUGCACUGCUUCUGCUUUUGCUGCUACGGCUGGGCACUGCACUGCUUUCUCCUGUUGCUGCUCCCGCUAUGCUCGGUAGCAAAUUGCAGUGGAUGCAAAACCUUGUAGUUCUUUGGCUUGGUGAAGAACUGCAUAGUUGAUCCAAAUUACCUGGAUCUCUGUUACCACAGAGAACAAACAUAUAAAUUACCUAAAAAUACGAUUCUAGCAACUAUGACAAAGAACAAGCAUAUAAAUUACCUAAAAAAUCAAGCAUCCCGCCAUCCACCAUGGAUAUAGGGAUGUAGGACUGCACUGCAGCCAGCAGAGAAACAAAACAUAAAUAUAAUUAUCAUUCAGAACAAAGAAUGCGACAUUUCCAAAUAUAAUGCCAUCCAUUUACAAGACUAUGCGAUGAGCUUAUAAACCAUCACAUUAUUGUAAAUUCUCAACCAAAUAAAAUACAAGCUAAUCACCAUUUUAUCUCUAAUAAGCAAACAGAUUGACAAAUUAUAUACAGAACCAGAAGCAUAAACUGUCAUGAUCACAGAGAUAAAAUCAUUGUUAUAGACUGUCCUUACCAGAAUUUCAAGAUAGUUAUUUUAAAUUGUCAUGGCCACACUUGCACAUGCUUUAGCCUUAAUUCGAAAAGCGGAAUUUCAAAUUAUUAUGCUUCACAUAUCAAAACAUAAGGAAAAUCUGCGGUUCCAAAUGUACCUCAUCGUAUUUUCUUCUGGUCAAUAAGAAAAAUCAGUACAACCUAUUAGCAAAAAUAUUUCAAUCUCACGGAGACCAUGUUUGAUUGAAAUCUGAGUCGCCGGAGCCGCAGCAGACAUCCAUCUCAAAGCAUAAAGAGUCAGCGUCAACUUGUGGUGCACAUGUAGCUAACAGAAGAAAAAAAGAGUCAGCAACUCAGCAUAAAAGGUCCCAUGCAUCCAUAUUAAAAUCUAUAAUCUGGAAAACACCCAAAAAAGAAGUUUUGGUACUGUAAAAGACUAGAACUACUGAUGGUUGAAGUUAAGUUCAGGCUAGAUCUAAAUUGAGUCCAAGCUAAAGCUUGCACAAAAUCGCAGACCCCCAUCCUGAGAUGCCCUAACUCAAAUUUAAUCAAAUUGGCACUUGGGAGUGACAAUCAAAGAUCUCUAAUAACAGUAAACAACGUCCUACCAAAACCACACACACCAAAAACAUACUAAUAUAGAAUCAACUCAACUAAAAAGAAAUACAUACAUAGAGGGAGACACACACAGAGAGAAAGACAAACACAUACACAGAGGGAGACACACACACACACAAAGAGAAAGACAAAGACAAACAAAAUUAGCUGUCAAAGACAUUGCACACACAACCACAAACACAAACACACACCCACAAAAAACACUGCCAAAAAAAUGCAGAGCUACUCAGCUACAAAAACAAAAACAAGAAAAAUACCACACACACAACAAGCAGAGACACAACCACAAAAAAAGAUAGACGAACACAAAAAAGUAAAAUAAAACUACUAAAACAAAGUCAAAAAUAUAAAAAAAAUCCAAAUAGCAACUAAAAAACACAAUCAAGAAAAAACACACAUACACCCACAAACAAAGACAGAAAAAAAUCAGUUGCCAAAUACACUGCACGGGCACACCCACAAACACAAAACACACACACAAAAAAACACACACAACAACAAGCAGAGACACAAAACCACAAAAACACACGAACAGAAAAAAGUCAAAAAAAUCUACUAAAACAAAGUCAAAUAUAUAAAAAUCCAAAUAGCAAAUAAAAAACAGAAUCAAGAAAAAACACAGCCACAAACACAGACACACACCUAAAAAAACAAACACACACAGAAAAACAAAACACACAAAGAACUAUAAAGGCAAAGGAAAAAAAGAAAGAAAAACAAAAAACACACACACCAAAAAAAAUGCAAAAAAAAAACAGUAGUAGAAAAAAAGAAAUGCCUGCUAUAACCUAAAAAUAAAGAAAAGGAAUAAAAGAAAAAGAAAUAUAAAUAAAAAGUAAAAAUAAAAAAGGGUCCACAAGAAAAAAUCCCAUAAAAAUAAAAACACAUCACCAGAAAAAAGAAAGACUUGCCUGCCAAACAACAAAUCAUCAAGACCAUCAAAUAGGAGACUCACCAUUAACCCUAUAGAAAAGAAAACAUAAUAUAUAAGAACCUAAAAAAUAUUACAUUAUAAUACAUAGGAAAAAAUGAAAAAAAAACACAUCCAGGGAGCAAUAUCAAAGAGCCACAACACAUAAAAUGCAGCUCCCUCACCCCGAGGUCCUACUACCCAGUCUCAAACAACAACCUCAUUUACGAACACAACAUUUAUGAAAAACUCGGUGCUCAUCGACACAAAGCCAAGAAUGUCACUGAUACGUGUUAAAUUGCAACUCAAACUAGAGAUAAAGGAAUAGAACAACACUGAAUGUAACAUUGCGACAACAAUACUCAUGCACAACUAAGCAUAUCAGCAUUCCUUCACAACACGCAAAAACUAAAUGUUCACUCACAACAUAUGAUUGUAAGCAGAUAUGAAUUGCAUAACGACAAGCAGGAGUGUCAACAUGACUGGUAUACUUGUAAACUCGACAUCUCCCAUAGAAUACAUAAAAGGAAUGGAGACAAAUGUGCGCAGAGUUUGGCAGGAAUCAACCAAACAUGGUCCCCUAGGUAUUUCAGAAAAAAUAGACUUGUUCCUUGCACUCAAGAAUAUAUGGAAUUCUGAGGAAAAAAUUAAGCGAUUCAGAAAGCAAAGGCACAUAGUAUUAUAGCAGUAUCUGCAGCAGAGCAUGGUCUAGCUACUUAUUAUUGUUCUUUCCUGGUGGCAGUACACAAAAGAAACCUCAAAAUAGAGCUCUUCAAGGUCACACUUCAUAGUAAGGAACUCUUGCUGUGAUCAAACAGUCUAUAAACAUCUUUAGACAAAAACCAGCAACAUGAUAUUAUAGAUCCUAAUCCAACAAGAAAUGUCAUGACACAAACCACAUGAACAAAAGCAGAGAUGCCGCAAUGUAGCAGAUAGAAGCACAUGGCAAGUGAAAUGAAACAAAGAAAGAUGAACCACAUCAUUAGAGAAGAACAAUGCUAAAGGCUCACUGCAUGACAAGGGAAAACAGAACAAAACAUACAACUUUCCUGAUUCCGCACAGAACAAAUAGCCAAGCAGCAGCAAGAUAAAUAAACUACCAGAAAGUGGCAUCUAAAUCUACCAAAGCAGCAGCUACAUCCAGUAGCUAAAACUAAAGUCUAAAGAAGGCAAAGGAUGACAAUGUUCAGAGCAUACAUGAAUCUGAGAAAAAAAUAGAUCUCGUAGUAACAUUUACUAGAUGACACGAACUACAGAUUGCAUAGUUUCAACUCUACAUGAACUGGAGAUUACCAAAUCCACAAGAAACAUUGGCACAUUUGCCAAAAAACUAGAGAAAUGUACCCUACUUCUACACUUUAUAACAGGAUGACAACAUGAUUAAUAGCAUGACUGGUAAUCACAUAUGUCCUGAAGAAUUGCCAAACUAAGAUAAUUUAGAACAUAUAUGUACCAAGCAAUUGCCAAACCAAAAACCAAAGCUGCAGAAUAAGAUCUACAGAAUGACAACUAAUGCAUACCUAAAUCGCAACACCAAGGAUAAACACAACAUGAGCAAACAACAAAUAGGGGGAGCGACAACAACAGCUGCAAUACCUCCUCAGACGAGCAACAGCUCCUUCAAUCUGCGGUAGCCGGAACAGGAGAAGUGGCGACGACUGCCACGCCCCAACGCACUGAGGAACCGAGGACAGGGAAAAACACUAACACGACGCACACCGGCGCGGCGCAAGAUGUCCUGCACACGAGGCAUGGCGAGGAGCGGGGAGGCGUGCAGGGCUGUCCCCGGCUGGAUCCACCCACAGCUUCAGCGGGGAGGCACGGCGAGGAGCGGCGCAGGCCAAGCGGCAGUGGUUGCCGACUGCCUGAGCUAUGCGCUAGCGAACACGGGGAGUCACGGAGAGGAUUGGGGGAGACGAAGAGAAACGAUAGCAGGUUUGUGGAUUUCACAGGCUCUAUUUCGCGGACCCGUCAUAGCGUGGCGAACCCGUCAGCACAACCAUACAGCUGCACGAAUCUUAAAACAAAUCAACGACCCAAAAUUUGACAGAUAAAGGCCACCAAAAUCUGUUGACAGAUAAAUAGCAUAAAUCUA
Molecule: long non-coding RNA, 4336 nt
Filed under: Sorghum bicolor (sorghum)
Lineage: Eukaryota; Viridiplantae; Streptophyta; Magnoliopsida; Poales; Poaceae
Description: long non-coding RNA (SBIC_LNC018033)
Source: RNAcentral